GUGGGGAAUAUUGGACAAUGGGCGAAAGCCUGAUCCAGCCAUGCCGCGUGUGUGAAGAAGGUCUUCGGAUUGUAAAGCACUUUAAGUUGGGAGGAAGGGCAGUAAGUUAAUACCUUGCUGUUUUGACGUUACCGACAGAAUAAGCACCGGCUAACUUCGUGCCAGCAGCCGCGGUAAUACGAAGGGUGCAAGCGUUAAUCGGAAUUACUGGGCGUAAAGCGCGCGUAGGUGGUUUUGUAAGUUGGAGGUGAAAUCCCCGGGCUCAACCUGGGAACUGCCUCCAAAACUGCAUGACUAGAGUACGGUAGAGGGUAGUGGAAGUUCCUGUGUAGCGGUGAAAUGCGUAGAUAUAGGAAGGAACACCAGUGGCGAAGGCGACUACCUGGACUGAUACUGACACUGAGGUGCGAAAGCGUGGGGAGCAAACAGGAUUAGAAACCCUGGUAGUCC
Molecule: ribosomal RNA, 450 nt
Filed under: uncultured bacterium
Lineage: Bacteria
Description: bacterial SSU rRNA
Rfam family: Bacterial small subunit ribosomal RNA
Source: RNAcentral